GCGGGUGUGGCGGAAUGGUAGACGCCGGGGACUUAAAAUCCCCUGUCCUCCGGACGUGUGGGUUCGAGUCCCACCACCCGCACCA
RNAcentral lists this transfer RNA (85 nucleotides) under Citromicrobium bathyomarinum. RNAcentral describes it as "tRNA-Leu". It matches the Rfam family "tRNA". From Rfam's summary of the family: Transfer RNA (tRNA) molecules are approximately 80 nucleotides in length. Their secondary structure includes four short double-helical elements and three loops (D, anti-codon, and T loops). Further hydrogen bonds mediate the characteristic L-shaped molecular structure. tRNAs have two regions of fundamental functional importance: the anti-codon, which is responsible for specific mRNA codon recognition, and the 3' end, to which the tRNAs corresponding amino acid is attached (by aminoacyl-tRNA synthetases). tRNAs cope with the degeneracy of the genetic code in two manners: having more than one tRNA (with a specific anti-codon) for a particular amino acid; and 'wobble' base-pairing, i.e. permitting non-standard base-pairing at the 3rd anti-codon position. RNAcentral also lists the same sequence under 2 other names. Lineage: Bacteria; Pseudomonadati; Pseudomonadota; Alphaproteobacteria; Sphingomonadales; Sphingomonadaceae. The record is from RNAcentral.